AUAAAGUCUUUUAAAAUUCGUUUCAAAAUUUCAAAAAGUUCAUAAAUGUCCAAAGAUCUAAACUAGGCAGUGAGAUCUACAUAAUCAUCAUCACUCUUGUCGACGGUGUCAUCGGGAGCGGAAGUAGUAGGUCGACGAGCGAGGUUCAUCACUUGUUCUUUGAUUUGCUGAACGGUCUCACUCAUGCUUGCUUGUUCAGCUACUCUUCUCCGCUCUGACUCUGCUAGUGCCGCUAUAAGUUUAGCUAUUUG
This 251-nucleotide long non-coding RNA is filed under the name Solanum tuberosum (potato). RNAcentral describes it as "long non-coding RNA (STUB_LNC011595)". Lineage: Eukaryota; Viridiplantae; Streptophyta; Magnoliopsida; Solanales; Solanaceae. The record is from RNAcentral.